GUUUCUAUUUAUGGUGGAGCCGGCGAUCGGCGUGCGGUUGGAAGUGGUGUCCCUGAGGCACCUGCUCGCCCUUUUCCUGCGCCUCCGCAACGUCGGCUGCGAAUGAGUCUCCUAAAGGACGCCCGGGAGGAUCGGAAACAGCCGAGUCCCGGCGCGGGCAGUGUCCUGCGCUCCUCCCCGGGGUCUGGCCGGGGUGGGCCCGAGGCCCCCGGGCCCCCGGUUACCGCCGCGGGCGCGUCUGCGUCCUGACCCGGAGGGACCCGCGGGCCGGGCCGUACCAGGUGGCGCUGGGGUUAGGGUUGCCGCCACGGAAGCCCAGCUCUGUGGACGCCUGCAGGGCGCCCUCACCGCCCGGGACGGGGGACCCAGCCCAGCCGCAGGGGAAGGACUGGGGCUCGCGGGGACGGAGGGCGGUUAGGAUUGCUGGAUACAACACGGAACGCCCAAUUAACGUUUUUGUUUAACGUGUUUUUUGUAGAGAUGGGGUCUCGCUAUGUUGCCCAGGCUGGUCUUGAACUCCUGGCCUCAAGCGAUCCUCCCGCCUCGGCCUCCAGAGUAGCUGGGACUAGAGGCCUGAGACAGCACGCCCGGCUCAGUUAAGAUUUUAAAACAGAUUUGUUGAAAUAUAAUGCACUUACUGUGAAAUUCACUUAUUGAAAGCUUAUGGCUUUGCCGUAUAUUCGGAGAUGGGCGGCCAUGCUCACUAUCUCAUGUGACACCGUUUCUGUUGCCCCAGAAAGAAACCCCGUGCCCAUGAGCGUUCACUCCCCACCCUGCCCACGGCCCAGCAAAUCUGCUUCAGCCCCUAUAGAUUUACCUCUACCGCGUUGGGCAUGUACUAAAAAUUGUUUAUCUGAAGUACAGAUUUAUCGGCAUCCCAUAUUUUUAUUUGCUAAUUCUGGCCAUCCUAAAGGUGGCAUCGCUCGCUCUGACCAAGGAAGCCUCAAGCAGGCAGGCACGAGAGUCCAUCCCUAGCCCUGCCUGGCCCCUCAGAGCCCAUCCCUGGCCCUGCCUGGCUCCUCAGAGCUGUCCCUGGCAGGCUCCGGGCUCAGGUGCGCUGCCAGGAGGGGGGCAGUGAGGGCUGUUUUAGGUAUAACAAUCCUGGAUAUUUCCUGAGUAUCUUGUCCGAAUGGUUCCUCUUUCUGUAUUUUCUAGCUUCCUCUGUAUAUUUAAAAAUGGUCUUAUUGGUGUGUUUCUUCACGACAUUUCAAUUUUUUGUUAUCAUUUCCCACAAUUUCAGUGAUGCAAGAUGGUCCUUUCUGAGCAGAGCUCCCCUCGCUCAGUGCUCCUUUGUUUCACGUAGAAGAUCUUCUUGAGGGGACUGUGUGGCCAGUGCAGCCCAGGCCUCCCCACCCUGCACCGUUCAACAGAAGAGCAGCUGACGCAGGGGGCCCUCAACAUGCUCACCCAAAAGUCAGCGAGAUUCUGCACCGGCCCACUAGCCUUCCAAUUGUAAACUAAAAAUAAAAUCUUGGCCAGGCA
Molecule: long non-coding RNA, 1482 nt
Filed under: Homo sapiens (human)
Lineage: Eukaryota; Metazoa; Chordata; Mammalia; Primates; Hominidae
Description: HSALNT0392240
Source: RNAcentral